Molecule: ribosomal RNA, 474 nt
Filed under: uncultured bacterium
Lineage: Bacteria
Description: bacterial SSU rRNA
Rfam family: Bacterial small subunit ribosomal RNA
Source: RNAcentral
AUUGAACGCUGGCGGCAUGCUUUACACAUGCAAGUCGAACGGCAGCACGGGUGCUUGCACCUGGUGGCGAGUGGCGAACGGGUGAGUAAUGCAUCGGAACGUGCCUAUUAGUGGGGGAUAACGCUUCGAAAGGAGUGCUAAUACCGCAUAAUCUCUGAGGAGGAAAGCGGGGGACCUUAGGGCCUCGCGCUGAUAGAGCGGCCGAUGUCGGAUUAGCUAGUUGGUGAGGUAAAGGCUCACCAAGGCGACGAUCCGUAGCGGGUCUGAGAGGACGACCAGCCACACUGGGACUGAGACACGGCCCAGACUCCUACGGGAGGCAGCAGUGGGGAAUUUUGGACAAUGGGCGCAAGCCUGAUCCAGCAAUGCCGCGUGCAGGAGAAGGCCUUCGGGUUGUAAACUGCUUUUGUACGGAACGAAAAGGCUCUGGUUAAUACCUGGGGCUCAUGACGGUACCGUAAGAAUAAGCACCGG